This 286-nucleotide long non-coding RNA is filed under the name Lathyrus oleraceus (garden pea). Its description in RNAcentral is "Pisum sativum (pea) long non-coding RNA (PSAT_LNC035265)". Lineage: Eukaryota; Viridiplantae; Streptophyta; Magnoliopsida; Fabales; Fabaceae. The record is from RNAcentral.
UUUUUUGUAUGAUGCAUAUUAUGGAUGUUGGAAUUGAUCAUGAAUUUUGUUGGAAUUUUUGGAUUGAUUUCUGAUUUGAUUGGGAUUUUCCAUUCUGGAUGGUCAUAUGUAAGCUUUUGGAUUGCCUUGAUUUUCAUUUGUUUGUGAAAUGCUUGUUCUUUAUCCUAUGAAUGUGAAACUUUGCACACUAUUUCUAGACACGUUAAAGGUUGUUUUGGAUUUGGUUUGAGGUUUUUACCAUGAUUCAUGUCUAUUUUAGGCCUAUGCUAAGUUGGUGUGACAAUUG